GCAACUUUCACAAUCCGAACAGUAUGAGGGUUGGAAGCUUCCUUAACAUACUAGUCUACUUGGUAAUCUUAAUACUUACAGCAGUGGGUGCGCAGUCCACAAGAAAAAAUGUAAAGUGUAAUCCAAUGGGCUGUCCAAAAGUGGAACCUUAACUUUAGUGAUGCCAAUAGUAAAAAUCUCAAUAAUAAAUCAAAUUAUUGAUGCCAAUAGUAAAAAUCUGAAUAAUAAAACAAAUUAUUGAUCCAUGAA
Long non-coding RNA from Drosophila gunungcola (fruit fly), 249 nucleotides. RefSeq lists it as uncharacterized. The transcript has 2 exons. Lineage: Eukaryota; Metazoa; Arthropoda; Insecta; Diptera; Drosophilidae. The record is from RefSeq and is a predicted model, not a curated record.